Molecule: long non-coding RNA, 362 nt
Filed under: Sorghum bicolor (sorghum)
Lineage: Eukaryota; Viridiplantae; Streptophyta; Magnoliopsida; Poales; Poaceae
Description: long non-coding RNA (SBIC_LNC004236)
Source: RNAcentral
GCAGCCAACCCCAGUGCCACAGCCCCUGCCGCAACCAAAUCCAAAUCCAAACCCACAGCCGCAGCCCCUUCCACAGCCCGAUCCAAACCCACAGCCUCUGCCUCAGCCCCUACCGCAGCCCGAUCCAAACCCACAGCCUCUGCCUCAGCCCCUCCCACAACCACAGCCAGGCCCAAUCCCGCCGCAGCCUCUGCCGCAGCCCGACCCAAACCCACAGCCCGUACCACAGCCCCUCCCACAACCACAGCCAGGCCCAAUCCCGCCGCAGCCUUUGCCGCAGCCUGACCCAAACCAGCCUCUGCCACAGCCGCAGCCGGCACCGGGGACCCAACCUGUUUCGACCCAAAAUCCACAACCGCAGG